GAUGAACGCUGGCGGCGUGCUUAACACAUGCCAGUCGAACGGAAAGGCCCAAGCUUGCUUGGGUGCUCGAGUGGCGAAAGUGUGAGUAACACGUGGUUCAUCUGCCCUUCACUUCGGUAUAAGCCUUGGAAACUGGUUCUAAUACCGGAUCGGUUCACUCCUGGGAUGUUGUGGUGGAAAGUUUUUUCGGUGUGGGGUGAGCUCGCGGCCUAUCAGCUUGUUGGUGGGGUAAUGGCCUACCAAGGCGUCGACGGGUAGCCGGCCUGAGAGGGUGUACGGCCACAAUGGGACUGGGAUACGGCCCAGAAUCCUACGGGGGGCAGCAGGGGGGAAGAUUGCACAAGGGGCGCAAGCCUGAUGCAGCGAAGCCGGGGGGGGGAUGACGGCCUUCGGGGUGUAAACUCCGUUCGAGAGGGACGAAGCGUUUUGUGACGGUACCUGGAGAAGAAGCACCGGCUAACUACGUG
RNAcentral lists this ribosomal RNA (467 nucleotides) under uncultured bacterium. Its description in RNAcentral is "partial 16S ribosomal RNA". It matches the Rfam family "Bacterial small subunit ribosomal RNA", at positions 28 to 507 of the family's 1533-position model. The record is from RNAcentral.